AGCCUUCUGUAUCCGUGCUGAGAUUUCAACACACAUUAGAACACAAGGGCUGAUGAGACUUCCCAGAUAAGUGAAAUG
Schistosoma haematobium is the source of this 78-nucleotide non-coding RNA. The record is from Rfam. NCBI's taxonomy places the organism in Eukaryota, Metazoa, Platyhelminthes, Trematoda, Strigeidida, Schistosomatidae.